Non-coding RNA from Veillonella sp. CAG:933, 140 nucleotides. Lineage: Bacteria; Bacillati; Bacillota; Negativicutes; Veillonellales; Veillonellaceae. The record is from Rfam.
AUUAAUAGAAAUAUGAAAUCUGACGAUGGAAGUUAGUGAGAAUCUAACACGGUCCCGCCACUGUGAUGGCUUUUGCCUAAGUCAGGUCUUUCGCGGAUUUCAUUACACAUGCUGUUUCGAGGUAAGACAGGAUGUUGUUU